GAUGAAGAACGCAGCGAAAUGCGAUAAGUAAUGUGAAUUGCAGAAUUCAGUGAAUCAUCGAAUCUUUGAACGCAUCUUGCGCUCCUUGGUAUUCUGAGGAGCAUGCCUGUUUGAGUGUCAUUAAAUUCUCAACUACACUGACUUUGAAUUGGUGCGGCUUGGAUUUGGGGGGAAAAUUGUUGUGGGCUUUUUGUAUAGUCUGCUCCCCUGAAAUUGAUUAGCGGUACCUUUGUGGAACUGUCUACAGGUGUGAUAAUUAUCUACAUCUUAGACAUCUGCUGGAAUGCUGCUUUCUAAACCUUACUUGUAUUGACAAUCUUGACCUCAAAUCAGGUAGGACUACCCGCUGAACUUAAGCAUAUCAAUAAGCGGAGGA
This 376-nucleotide unclassified non-coding RNA is filed under the name soil metagenome. RNAcentral describes it as "partial contains 5.8S ribosomal RNA, internal transcribed spacer 2, and large subunit ribosomal RNA". The stretch from base 1 to 120 matches the Rfam family "5.8S ribosomal RNA", at positions 35 to 154 of the family's 154-position model. The record is from RNAcentral.